AGAGUUUGAUCCUGGCUCAGGACGAACGCUGGCGGCGUGCUAAUACAUGCAAGUCGAGCGGACCGGAGGGAGCUUGCUCCCAAAGGUUAGCGGCGGACGGGUGAGUAACACGUGGGCAACCUGCCCGACAGACCGGGAUAACGCUUGGAAACGAGUGCUAAUACCGGAUAGGCUUUUCUCUCGCAUGAGAGAAAAGAGAAAGAAGCUUUCGCUUCACUGUCGGAUGGGCCCGCGGCGCAUUAGCUAGUUGGUGAGGUAACGGCUCACCAAGGCGACGAUGCGUAGCCGACCUGAGAGGGUGACCGGCCACACUGGGACUGAGACACGGCCCAGACUCCUACGGGAGGCAGCAGUAGGGAAUCUUCCACAAUGGGCGCAAGCCUGAUGGAGCAACGCCGCGUGAAUGAUGAAGGCCUUCGGGUUGUAAAAUUCUGUCUUCUGUGAAGAACAGGUGUGAGAAGAGAACGCUCACACCCUGACGGUAACAGAGGAGGAAGCCCCGGCUAACUACGUGCCAGCAGCCGCGGUAAUACGUAGGGGGCAAGCGUUGUCCGGAAUCACUGGGCGUAAAGCGCGCGCAGGCGGCCAUUUGCGUCCGGGGUGAAAGCCCAAGGCUCAACCUUGGGAUUGCCUUGGAUACGGGAUGGCUUGAGGAUCGGAGAGGCAAGGGGAAUUCCACGUGUAGCGGUGAAAUGCGUAG
This 700-nucleotide ribosomal RNA is filed under the name uncultured bacterium. RNAcentral describes it as "bacterial SSU rRNA". It matches the Rfam family "Bacterial small subunit ribosomal RNA", at positions 8 to 693 of the family's 1533-position model. The record is from RNAcentral.